RNAcentral lists this ribosomal RNA (483 nucleotides) under uncultured bacterium. Its description in RNAcentral is "partial 16S ribosomal RNA". It matches the Rfam family "Bacterial small subunit ribosomal RNA", at positions 28 to 506 of the family's 1533-position model. The record is from RNAcentral.
AUUGAACGCUGGCGGCAUGCUUUACACAUGCAAGUCGAACGGCAGCGCGGGCUUCGGCCUGGCGGCGAGUGGCGAACGGGUGAGUAAUGCAUCGGAACGUGCCCAGUAGUGGGGGAUAGCCCGGCGAAAGCCGGAUUAAUACCGCAUACGACCUGAGGGUGAAAGCGGGGGGGGGAAAGGCCUUGCGCUAUUUGAGCGGCCGAUGCCGGGUUAGCUAGUUGGUGGGGUAAAGGCUUACCAAGGCGACGAUCGGUAGCUGGUCUGAGAGGACGACCAGCCACAGUGGGGCUGAGACACGGCCCAGACUCCGACGGGAGGCAGCAGUGGGGAAGUUUGGACAAAGGGGGCAACCCUGAUCCAGCCAUGCAGCGUGCGGGAAGAAGGCCCUCGGGUGGUAAACCGCUUUUGUUCGGGAAGAAAUCCUCUGGGCUAAUACCCCGGGGGGAUGACGGUACCGGAAGAAUAAGCACCGGCUAACUACGU